GAGAAGUAAAAGUCGUAACAAGGUUUCCGUAGGUGAACCUGCGGAAGGAUCAUUAAUGAAUUUUCACCACUCACCGUGGGUUGUAGCUGGCCUGCAGUUGCAUUUAGGCAUGUGCACGCCCCAGUGAUUUCAAAAUUCUUACACCCCUGUGUGCACCCCCCGACGGCAGAGAGGAGAGAGGAGAGGUUGGAAUGUUUCUCCUCGGUGAGAAACACGAAGGUCUCGCUUUUUCUUUCUUUUUGCGGUCUUUUUUUGUUUGUGUUGCUGAUGCACAACAACACACACCACAACACACACACACGUUAAUAGAUGAAUGUUAUUUUAUUUUUUUACAUCGACCGCGUUGCUCGUCGCGACGUGGGGGAAAAGAAAAUACAACUUUCAGCAACGGAUCUCUUGGCUCUCGCAUCGAUGAAGAACGCAGCGAAAUGCGAUAAGUAAUGUGAAUUGCAGAAUCCAGUGAAUCAUCGAAUCUUUGAACGCACCUUGCGCUCCUUGGUAUUCCGAGGAGCAUGCCUGUUUGAGUGUCAUGGUAUUCUCAAAUCCCCGCCCCUCUCUGGUUCUGGGAUUUGGACUUGGAGACAUGCUGGAAUUUCCGUGAUUUCGGCUUCUCUGAAAUGCAGUAGUGUGAACUUGUGGGUUGCACGUGACUCAGUGUGAUAAUUUAUCUGCGCUGUGUGCGGGGCGACCUGUGCUUUGUUGGGGUUCAUGCUUUCAAACAGUCUGUUCAGUCAGACAAAACCUGCUAUUGUGAUCUGACCUCNAAUCAGGUAGGACUACCCGCUGAACUUAAGCAUANC
Molecule: ribosomal RNA, 800 nt
Filed under: Podoscypha vespillonea
Lineage: Eukaryota; Fungi; Basidiomycota; Agaricomycetes; Polyporales; Podoscyphaceae
Description: eukaryotic LSU rRNA
Rfam family: 5.8S ribosomal RNA (bases 377-530)
Source: RNAcentral